AAUCGAUGGAUGGCCCGCUGUUGGCGAUAUACUGGUGAGCGAUCAUGAAGAAAUUCGUUAAGCAUCCCCACUGGGGAGUACGCGGGCAACGGUGAAACUCAAAGGAAUUGACGGGGGGCCGCACAAGCGGAGGAACAUGUGGGUUUAAUUCGAUGAUACGCGAGGAACCUUACCCGGGGCUUGAACUGCCAGCGAACGAUUCAGAGAUGAUGAGGCCCUUCGGGGCGCUGGUGGAGGUGCUGCAUGGUUGUCGUCAGCUCGUGCCGUGAGGUGUCGGCUGGAGUGCCAUAACGCGCGCAACCCUUUUCUUUAGUUGCCAUCAGGUAAUGCUGGGCACUCUGGAGAUACUGCCACCGUAAGGUGUGAGGAAGGUGGGGAUGACGUCAAAUCAGCACGGCCCUUACGUCCGGGGCUACACACGUGUUACAAUGGGGGGUACAGAGAGUCGGAUAUACGCAAGUAUGUUCUAAUCCUUAAAGCCUUCCUCAGUUCGGAUUGGGGUCUGCAACCCGACCCCAUGAAGCUGGAUUCGCUAGUAAUCGCGCAUCAGCCAUGGCGCGGUGAAUACGUUCCCGGGCCUUGUACACACCGCCCGUCAAGCCAUGAAAGCCGGGGGCGCUUGAAGUCCGUGACCGCAAGGAUCGGCCUAGGGCGAAACUGGUAAUUGGGGCUAAGUCGUAACAAGGUAGCCGUA
Molecule: ribosomal RNA, 694 nt
Filed under: uncultured bacterium
Lineage: Bacteria
Description: bacterial SSU rRNA
Rfam family: Bacterial small subunit ribosomal RNA
Source: RNAcentral